Neogale vison (American mink) is the source of this 725-nucleotide long non-coding RNA. RefSeq lists it as uncharacterized. The record is from RefSeq and is a predicted model, not a curated record. NCBI's taxonomy places the organism in Eukaryota, Metazoa, Chordata, Mammalia, Carnivora, Mustelidae. The transcript has 5 exons.
UCAGGAAAGAAUGAAGCUUCAAGGUAUAAGAGAGCGCGGCUCUGCAGAGCCUGUAGGAUUCCUCUAGCAAGAAAACUUAGAGACACUCCUUGAAGCUUCAUGGAGCAUGGGCCAGGGAUCCAGACCCGGAGAGAGUGUAAUGUGCUCUUGACCUUGCAGUGUGAGACUGAUCUGGACUCAGGACUCUGUUUCAUGCAGUAUGAGAAGCUAGUCUGUGUAGCAGAUGCCGUGGAGUACCACCCAAAGACCCCCUCAGAAGAAAGGCUCUCAGUACCCCACUCCAGUGGCUUAGAGUGAUAGCCACACGCGGACAGCCCAUGACUGACUCCGUCUUGGAGAAAUGCUCUCAAUCAGAGAAAAGAAGACUGAAAAUCAAACCAGUUAAGCGCUUUCUCCAAAGGUCUCAAAAGUGGGGUGACAGCUGGUAUGUACACACAGAUAAAGAAACUGAGGCACAGAGUGGUUGCCUCACACUUCCCGGGGUCACAGCGUCGCAGACUCUGAAAGUGUGACUCCUAUCUUUAACUGGAACAAGAAAUUAGAAGAAUUAUAUACAGUAUUUGGCUACAGAAGAAAAAAGAGAAGAAGUCUGGAUGUAACCCUGGCCGGGAAUGACUUUGUCACCGCUUGGAUUCUGUGAGUCAUUCUCCAAAGAAGGAAGCUCCAGGUCUAAUGAGUUCUGACUCAAGAUUCUUUCCCUGAUAAAUUUAAAAUAUGCCGCCACU